Molecule: ribosomal RNA, 773 nt
Filed under: uncultured Glomus
Lineage: Eukaryota; Fungi; Glomeromycota; Glomeromycetes; Glomerales; Glomeraceae
Description: SSU rRNA
Rfam family: Eukaryotic small subunit ribosomal RNA
Source: RNAcentral
GGCCUACCAUGGUGUUAACGGGUAACGGGGUGUUAGGGCACGACACCGGAGAGGGAGCCUGAGAAACGGCUACCACAUCCAAGGAUGGCAGCAGGCGCGCAAAUUACCCAAUCCCGACACGGGGAGGUAGUGACAAUAAAUAACAAUACAGGGUUCUUUUGGAUCUUGUAAUUGGAAUGAGUACAAUUUAAAUCUCUUAACGAGGAACAAUUGGAGGGCAAGUCUGGUGCCAGCAGCCGCGGUAAUUCCAGCUCCAAUAGCGUAUAUUAAAGUUGCUGCAGUUAAAAAGCUCGUAGUUGAAUUUCGGGACCAAUAUGUCGGUCGUACCUCGGUACGUACUGGCAUCGUUGGUUUCUCCCUUCUGACGAACCAUGAUGUCAUUUAUUUGGUGUCAUGGGGAAUCAGGACUGUUACUUUGAAAAAAUUAGAGUGUUUAAAGCAGGCUCACGCUUGAAUACAUUAGCAUGGAAUAAUGAAAUAGGACGUUUGAUUCUAUUUUGUUGGUUCCUAGGAUCGACGUAAUGAUUAAUAGGGAUAGUUGGGGGCAUUAGUAUUCAAUUGUCAGAGGUGAAAUUCUUGGAUUUAUUGAAGACUAACUUCUGCGAAAGCAUUUGCCAAGGAUGUUUUCAUUAAUCAAGAACGAAAGUUAGGGGAUCGAAGACGAUCAGAUACCGUCGUAGUCUUAACCAUAAACUAUGCUGACUAGGAAUCGGACGAUGUUAAUUUUUCUUGACUCGUUCGGCGCCUUACGGGAAACCAAAGUGUUUGGGUUC